Molecule: ribosomal RNA, 253 nt
Filed under: uncultured bacterium
Lineage: Bacteria
Description: partial 16S ribosomal RNA
Rfam family: Bacterial small subunit ribosomal RNA
Source: RNAcentral
UACGGGGGGUGCGAGCGUUGUUCGGAAUUACUGGGCGUAAAGGGCUCGUAGGCGGCCAACUAAGUCAGACGUGAAAUCCCUCGGCUUAACCGGGGAACUGCGUCUGAUACUGGAUGGCUUGAGGUUGGGAGAGGGAUGCGGAAUUCCAGGUGUAGCGGUGAAAUGCGUAGAUAUCUGGAGGAACACCGGUGGCGAAGGCGGCAUUCUGGACUGCAACUGACACUGAUGAACGAAAGCCAGGGGAGCAAACGGG